Molecule: ribosomal RNA, 252 nt
Filed under: uncultured bacterium
Lineage: Bacteria
Description: partial 16S ribosomal RNA
Rfam family: Bacterial small subunit ribosomal RNA
Source: RNAcentral
UACGUAGGGGGCAAGCGUUGUCCGGAAUCAUUGGGCGUAAAGAGCGUGUAGGUGGCUCGGUAAGUCCGCUGUGAAAGUCCAGGGCUCAACCCUGGAAUGCCGGUGGAAACUGUCGAGCUCGAGUCCGGAAGAGGCGAGUGGAAUUCCUGGUGUAGCGGUGAAAUGCGCAGAUAUCAGGAGGAACACCGGUGGCGAAGGCGGAUCUCUGGGCCGAUACUGACGCUGAGGAGCGAAAGCGUGGGGAGCGAACAG